Molecule: ribosomal RNA, 453 nt
Filed under: uncultured Porphyromonadaceae bacterium
Lineage: Bacteria; Pseudomonadati; Bacteroidota; Bacteroidia; Bacteroidales; Porphyromonadaceae
Description: partial 16S ribosomal RNA
Rfam family: Bacterial small subunit ribosomal RNA
Source: RNAcentral
ACGGGAGGCAGCAGUGAGGAAUAUUGGUCAAUGGGCGGAAGUCUGAACCAGCCAAGUCGCGUGAAGGAUGAAGGUAUUAUGUAUUGUAAACUUCUUUAGCUGUGGAGCAAUAAGGGCUAUGUAUAGCCUGAUGAGAGUACACAGAGAAUAAGGAUCGGCUAACUCCGUGCCAGCAGCCGCGGUAAUACGGAGGAUCCGAGCGUUAUCCGGAUUUAUUGGGCUUAAAGGGUGCGCAGGCGGCUUUCUAAGUCAGUGGUCAAAUCGUGGUGCUCAACGCCAUCCCGCCAUUGAUACUGGAGAGCUUGAUUGCGGUCGAGGUUUGCGGAAUUCGUCGUGUAGCGGUGAAAUGCAUAGAUAUGACGAAGAACACCGAUUGCGUAGGCAGCAGACCAGGCCGUAAAUGACGCUCAUGCACGAAAGUGCGGGGAUCGAACAGGAUUAGAUACCCUGGUA